Molecule: long non-coding RNA, 1375 nt
Organism: Cyprinus carpio carpio
Lineage: Eukaryota; Metazoa; Chordata; Actinopteri; Cypriniformes; Cyprinidae
Source: Ensembl
CAAAAUGUGCUUAAGCUUGCAGUGUGAAAAGUUACUCAUUGUUUUUGCAAACAAGUUCCCUAAAACAGCCUCUCAACUUUCAUUGGUUGAUACUGCUGGCAAGAUGUUGGACAGCCUUUAACACACGUUUCUUAAACGCUGUAUAUUUCUCAGUGACCCAUUCAGUGCAAGUCUCUAAAGUCGGGCAUUUGAAACUACAGCUGGAAAUUCGCAGCAGCUUGUCUCUUAUUUAAAGUAGCCUACAUAAGGAAUUACUUCGAAGACCACUGUCAAGGAAAUCCACAACGGAGGUACCAUGCUUGAAUGUCUGUGGAGGCCACUAGUAAGAGUCUGGAGACUCCUGUGCUGCAUGUGACUGAUGACUCUGAAAUAAAACGUUCAAAAGAAGAAACUGAAGCAGUGUCAAUCAUCACCAGUGUCCCUAGCUCUGUCCAUCCAUGGUUUGAGAAAUAUGGAGAAGAUGAUGGAGUUUAGUGUGGAGGGCUAAAUACAUGAUUUUUGUUUCAUAUGUUAUUAUGGUCAUUGCUCAUGGGCUCCCCGCAUGUAUUAGGAGCACAUGCCUUCACUUUGUGGGACAACUCUCAAGGACUCUGCAGGACAAGACUUUCCCCAAAAGGGCCAAAACUGCAGUGGGCAUUACCUCCAGUUCAUUUUUUACACUGGAAAUGGAAAAUUGAGUCAAGCACAUGGUACUGUUACUCUGUAACUGUAACUGUAAAUUCAUGAGUAUUCAAACUAUAUUUGUAUUCUUUUUUACUGCCUGGAAAUGAAUGUCUAAAACUUUUUAUUUCAAAAUACAGGAUGUCAUUUUCAGCCCAACUGGACUGGUUUAGGAAACAAAUACAAGAUUGAGCCACACAAAAAUCUGGCCAGUGAUAAUGUAUUUUUGUAGAGCAACCCCAAAAUUUGCAUCAACCUGGUUUCCUUGACAAAAACACAAUUUCCAUUGGCUUUUGGAUUAUUGCAGAAAAUAUGCUUUACAAAUGAAGCCUGCUUCUGAAGCUAAAUACAUCUAAAGAUCUUUUAGAUGUCAACCAGUUUUUGCUACUUCUCAAACUCAUCUAAACCUAGCUGUAUAAUGCUCUUUUAAAAAAAUGUUAAAAACCUGCUUUAAGUAGCUUGUUUUUCAUUAAUGUUCUAUUGUUUUAUGCUUUAAGUUUGUGUCUAUUUUAUGUUAGUCAGAGUACUUUGGUCAACAAUCCUUUUUUGAUUUAUGAUAUUUUUGUCUUUUAUAAUACAGGUGUUAACACUUUUUUUUUUUUGCAACAUUUUGUAUAUUUUAUGUAAUGAAGCAAAACUGUAGUUUGCAAGUCUGUGGUUAACAACACCCACACGUUUUACGUAGUUCAGCAGAUUUUUUUUUUUAAUAUCAGAG